Pelobates cultripes (western spadefoot toad) is the source of this 266-nucleotide non-coding RNA. NCBI's taxonomy places the organism in Eukaryota, Metazoa, Chordata, Amphibia, Anura, Pelobatidae. The record is from the annotation of a GenBank genome assembly.
GCAGUAACAAAGAUAUAUUUACCUUUUGCUCACCGUUCUCAUUACCUGUAUGUUCCUUUUUCUUCAAUUACUCUAUAUUUUGAAACAGGCGCAAUAGAAUGACCGCACAAUUAUUUUACACCAGAUGAGAAGAUCGAUGAUGAGAAGAUUGAUGGGGAAUGACAGGAUGUAGCACCAAAAGCAUUGCCCUUCUUUACAUUUUGCCAAAAUGUGACUCAUACACAGGACAAGGUAAUCCAUAAUUUGUCUUAUCUACAUAUUCUGAU